AUUGAACGCUGGCGGCAUGCUUUACACAUGCAAGUCGAACGGCAGCUCGGGCUUCGGCCUGGCGGCGAGUGGCGAACGGUUGAGUAAUGCAUCUGAACUUGCCCUGACUUGGCGGAUAGCCCGGCGAAAGCCGGAUUAAUACCCCAUACGACCUGAGGUUGCAAGCGGGGGGCCGAAAGGCCUCGCGCCAUUGUAGCAGCCGAUGUCGGAUUCGCUAGGUGGUGGGGUAAAGGCUUACCAAGGCUACGAUCCGUAGCUGGUCUGAGAGGACGACCCGCCACACUGGGACUGAGACACGGCCCAGACUCCUACGGGAGGCAGCAGUGGGGAAUUUUGGACAAUGGAGGAGACCCUGAUCCAGCCAUGCCGCGGGCGGGAAGAAGGCCUUCGGGUUGUAAAGCGAUUUUGUUCGGGAAGAAGUCCUCUGGGCUAAUACCCCGGGGGGAUGACGGUACCGGAAGAAUAAGCACCGGCUAACUACGUG
Molecule: ribosomal RNA, 484 nt
Filed under: uncultured bacterium
Lineage: Bacteria
Description: partial 16S ribosomal RNA
Rfam family: Bacterial small subunit ribosomal RNA
Source: RNAcentral